CGUUGUUAUACCACGGCGAACACCGUAUAUUUAUCUCUCUCCCGUAAUUACUCCUUCACACCCCCACAUCCUCCUCCAUCUUCAAUUGGCCGAUCGAUCUGGAACGUUGCCGCUCUAUCUCCGCCGUAACCGCCAAUUAGCUUAACCUUCCGUUGCCGCUCUAUCUCCGCUGUCACCGCCGAUUAGCUUAACCUACCGAUUAGAUCAGAAUUCAAAGAAGAGGAGUGGUGUUGGAAAUAUCAGAUAGAAGGCGGCAAAGGUUAUAGCAUUAUGUGAGAAAUUCAAGGAGAUCUUAAUGGAUCAAAGCAAACGUUCAGGAAUUGAGACAAAAAGAUGUUAGAUGAGAAGGAGCACUUAGUAUGGGAGAAGGAGCGCUUAGUACGAGAGAGGAAUUGGGAUCUCCUUGAAGUCGAUCCAAACUAUCGAAAUUGUUGUUUGUGAUGGUAAAGAUGGAUAUAUUUAUCUUAAGGACUGUCUCGUAUCCCAGUUAGCUUCAUGUCUAAAAUCACUGUUUUUUUUUUCGGUUUUUCUUGUUAAUGUUUUUGCCUCAAUGUAUACUCGAAUUAAUGGCUUAGAUUAUUGGCUAGACACAAAGUUAUCAGGUUCAAAUCCUUAAA
Molecule: long non-coding RNA, 617 nt
Organism: Camelina sativa (false flax)
Lineage: Eukaryota; Viridiplantae; Streptophyta; Magnoliopsida; Brassicales; Brassicaceae
Source: RefSeq, a predicted model, not a curated record